RNAcentral lists this ribosomal RNA (853 nucleotides) under uncultured bacterium. RNAcentral's name for it is "bacterial SSU rRNA". It matches the Rfam family "Bacterial small subunit ribosomal RNA", at positions 38 to 888 of the family's 1533-position model. The record is from RNAcentral.
GGCGGCAGGCCUAACACAUGCAAGUCGAACGGUAACAUUUCUAGCUUGCUAGAAGAUGACGAGUGGCGGACGGGUGAGUAAUGCUUGGGAACUUGCCUUUGCGAGGGGGAUAACAGUUGGAAACGACUGCUAAUACCGCAUAAUGUCUUCGGACCAAACGGGGCUUAGGCUCCGGCGCAAAGAGAGGCCCAAGUGAGAUUAGCUAGUUGGUAAGGUAACGGCUUACCAAGGCGACGAUCUCUAGCUGUUCUGAGAGGAAGAUCAGCCACACUGGGACUGAGACACGGCCCAGACUCCUACGGGAGGCAGCAGUGGGGAAUAUUGCACAAUGGGGGAAACCCUGAUGCAGCCAUGCCGCGUGUGUGAAGAAGGCCUUCGGGUUGUAAAGCACUUUCAGUUGUGAGGAAAAGUUAGUAGUUAAUACCUGCUAGCCGUGACGUUAACAACAGAAGAAGCACCGGCUAACUCCGUGCCAGCAGCCGCGGUAAUACGAAGGGUGCGAGCGUUAAUCGGAAUUACUGGGCGUAAAGCGCACGCAGGCGGUUUGUUAAGCUAGAUGUGAAAGCCCCGGGCUCAACCUGGGAUGGUCAUUUAGAACUGGCAGACUAGAGUCUUGGAGAGGGGAGUGGAAUUCCAGGUGUAGCGGUGAAAUGCGUAGAUAUCUGGAGGAACAUCAGUGGCGAAGGCGACUCCCUGGCCAAAGACUGACGCUCAUGUGCGAAAGUGUGGGUAGCGAACAGGAUUAGAUACCCUGGUAGUCCACACCGUAAACGCUGUCUACUAGCUGUGUGUGCCUUUAAGGCGUGCGUAGCGAAGCUAACGCGCUAAGUAGACCGCCUGGGGAGUACGGCCG